GAUGAAGAACGCAGCGAAAUGCGAUACUUGGUGUGAAUUGCAGAAUCCCGUGAACCAUCGAGUCUUUGAACGCAAGUUGCGCCCGAAGCCAUCAGGUUGAGGGCACGUCUGCCUGGGCGUCACAUAUCGUUGCCCAAUGCCUAUUGCAGUGCAAUAGGAAUUUCUAGGGCGAAUGAUGGCUUCCCGUGAGCGUUGUUGCCUCGCGGUUGGUUGAAAAUCGAGUCCUUGGUAGGGUGUGCCAUGGUAGAUGGUGGUCGAGUUAGAACGAUAUCGAUCAUGUGCAUGCUCCCCAAAAUAUGGCCUCUAUGACCCACACGCGUCUUUUGACGCUCAUGACGAGACCUCAGGUCAGGCGGGGCUACCCGCUGAAUUUAAGCAUAUCAAUAAGCGGAGGA
Molecule: unclassified non-coding RNA, 395 nt
Filed under: soil metagenome
Description: partial contains 5.8S ribosomal RNA, internal transcribed spacer 2, and large subunit ribosomal RNA
Rfam family: 5.8S ribosomal RNA (bases 1-122)
Source: RNAcentral